Molecule: long non-coding RNA, 3708 nt
Organism: Rattus norvegicus (Norway rat)
Lineage: Eukaryota; Metazoa; Chordata; Mammalia; Rodentia; Muridae
Source: RefSeq, a predicted model, not a curated record
UGAAAAGAUAUGAUGACAGAUGUCUCGUACUAAGCAGGUGACUCCCUCAGGUAUAGCUCAAAGUCUGUAUGCCUGUGCCAUGUACCCAGGAUAGAAAAGGUGCUCGGGAGCCCUCCAGCACCCAGUGAGGUACUGGGAUGAAUCCAAACCAAAAGUGAAAAUGAAUAGCUCACAGAGAUGAGCAUUCAAAGGGAAGAUAAUCGCAGACUCAUCCUUGGACCAAAAACAAAAGUGAAAGUACAAUGGCUGCCUGGGCAAGCUGACAAAGACAAAUACUGUGCUCACCCUCAAACUGAAACUGAAAAUACAAGUCAGCAGGAUGAACACUCAGAAAUGAAAAGAAGACAGAAAUGAGGACCAUGCGUUCACCCUUGCAGGACCCAUAGCAUAAAACACUAAGGGGUGAACUCACUGAACAAACAACCGAAGGUGGCAAGACAGCAGAGAAGAGUGGAUAAGGUCAAGCCACGAACACAGUCCCUGAAGCAACAGGCAAAAGUGAGCCCCCAGAAGAGGAGGUCAGCAAACAGCCACAAAACAAGGAAGAUGAAGUAGUUCACAGACUACGCUGGGUGCCAGAUAUUGUCUUUGCUCAGGACUGCCUACCUGCCCUUGGAGGUUAGAGAUGAGGAGAUGUUGAAUCAACAGCACAGUCUCCAGGAGCAGAUGGCUUGAUUCUGCACAAAGGAAAGGUCUGCAAUCUGUGUCAGAUCAGACUUGGCUGAACGAUGAAGUCAUUCACAGUUGCCAGCAAACAUUAAUAAUAUGGCUCCCAAGAGUGGAAUUGCAGUUAUCUCUGUGUUCACCUGUGAAAAGGCUUGCAGCUCAGGCAUAGAAGAUCAGAAUUGCUGCAGUGGUGCUCAAAGGAUGAGCUCAAAAUCGUUUAGAAGGAGACAAAAGAAAAAUAUUGAUUUUUGAGAUAUUUUUAUGUGUUAUUACUUGGUAAAACACAAUCUUUUUGGACAAUCAAUAAUUGAGAUACUAAGAAGUUAAAUUAAUUUGUUAUUCUUCCACAUGUCUAUCCAAAUACAUAUUUUUCUCUUUGAAGAUGACUGAUUGGUAAUGCAAAGUAAAUGUUUAAUAAACUUGAUUAAAUAAACCAUUAGAUAACAUAGAAAGGUACCAAAUGUGAUGUUUGAAACAACAUUUAAUGUUAACCUUCAAAAUAAUUUUGUUUAAAGCCUUGAUAUAAGCAGUAAAAAAUAAGUUGUUUUUCACUUUUCAGGUUAUAGAAAGCAUGAAAAUGAAAUUACCAGUUAUCCCAGAGUUUUACUUGUAAUGAAUCAUGGAUGAUAUAAUUAACCAAAGCUCUGUUGGGUCUUCAUAAAUCAAAUUUUAUAAAGAUGUGGGAAAUCAAAGGGUAGUUUGAGACCUGUAAAUAUUUUCCUCAAAAAUACCCGACUUUUACUUAGCCACAUAGAUGCCUGUAUCACAACAUACCACAAUAUGGCAGAAAGAAAACAGAAGUUUUUCUUAAUACACAUGCUCGUUCCACUUUCUGCCUUCUGUCCACCAGUCCAUGCACUUCUGCACAGCCCAGUUACAAAGAAGGAUGUGUCAAGGUUGAAUGAUUACCUAAUAUUCUUUAGCUCAUUCCAUUCUACCUUGACUUUUUGUAUUCCAUUUAUCCUUUUUUCAUUAUUAAUCACUCUGUCUUUACUGGUCCCAUUUAAGCAGUUAUAAUUAUCUAUUCAAAAGAGUUACUAAGAGCCUUUUCCCUAGAGAUAGAGUAUCCAAUAGAAUAGUCAAAAACGUAGUGUACAAGGGGGAGUGAAAACUGAUAUUAUAUAAUGAAACAGAUUUAAAAUGAAUUAAAAAUGAGUUCAUGUUUUUACAUUUAAAAUACUUAAAAGUGUUCUUUGAUUUCGAGCCAAAACAAUUUACUGUAUGUAUUCAUCAUUUAUGGCACUUUCAUAUAGAAAGUUUUUAUGAAAGUAUAUAAUGUGAUUCGAGCAUGUUGACCGUAACUUGCUUUUCAUCCUUCAGGUCUUCUGUAUGCCUCCAUUUUUCCCCUAGUAGUAGCUUUUCUUUUACUUCCGUGUCAUAUAGGCAUGCACAAUUUCAUGUUUAGAUAAAUUAUAGGACACACAAAUGACAGAAAAUACACAAUGCUUACUUCACAGACAGUUUUAUAUUUUUAAUUUUUUAAAAAUUUCUAAAUUUUAUUUGAUAUAAUAAUUUCUAUUUGCAUCAGUUUUCUGCAAAAGCUAUAACUUUACUUUAUGGCUGAAAAAAAAAUUCCAUAUACUACACUGUCUUUCCCAGUCUUGUGUUUUGGACUCCUUAUGUAGUGGAGUAACUUUACUGUUGUGCUUAGAGCUACAGUGAACAUGGGUGUCUGUAUCUCUAUGAAAAACCCAGGAGUGGCACAGCUGACUAAUACAUUUGCUUGAUGUUCAGUUUUUUUAAAGACCCUCCUACUAAUUUCUGUCAUGCAAGUAUAGUUUCCUUUCCCACCAAAGUGUAUUUAGAGGGUUCCUGUAAUGGACACUGUUGAUUGUCAACUUGAAAAGACCUAGAACUAGAAAUAUAACACAACAAACCUAAGGUCAUCCUUGUGAGGGACAUUUCUUUUGUUUGUCUGACUGCAAGUUAGUUUUGUUUGUGUAGUUUAAUUGAAAAAGGAAAACUCACUCAUUGCCCAUUUAAUAAUUGCACUAUUUGAUUUCUUUUUGUUAUAUUUGAAGUUUUUGUUUAAUACCCUAGAUAUUACUCCUCAAAUAAUACAUGAUUAACAAAGAUUUCCUCCCUUCAUAGGUUGUCAUUCCUUUGGACUAAAGGCUUUCUCUGCUGUGCAGAGGAUAAUAAUUUUAUAAGGUUCCAAUUUUCAAUUGUUAUUGCUAUCUCCUGAGCUUUAGUCAGAAAGCCCUUCUUUGUGCUGUCUACAUCUUAAAUAUUUUCUCUACUCUGUCUCUGAUGUUUUCAGAGUUACAGGUCUUGUAUCAAGUCUUGAUCAACUUGGGAAUUGUGUAGAAGAGAGAUAUAUUUCAUUCUUCUAUAUAUGAACAUUUUGUUUUUCCAGAACAAUUUAUUAAGAGGUUUUACUUUAAGGGCCAGAUAGAUAGAUCAGGAAUAAAAAGAACUUGCUGUACCUGCAGACAAUACAGGUUGAGUUCCUGGCACUGACAUGGCACAUCUGAGACUCCAAUUCUAUGGUGCCAAAUGCAUUCUUUGGUCCUCCAUGGCAGCACACACACACACACACACACACACACACACACACACACACACACACACAGAGUACAUAUUCACGUGCAUAAAAAAAUCAUUGGUAUAUACAAAAAUACAUAAAUCUAUUUUUAGAAAUUCUGUAAAAGUCUGUCUCAUCUUUGAUAUAUAUUUUUGACAUCUUUGCAAUAAUUUCCAUAGCUAUAACUAAAUGGAAUUUUAUCUGAGUCUUACAUUCUAUUCCAUCAUCCACUUGUUUGUUUAUUUAUUUAUUUAUUGUUCAUACCAUGCAGCUUUGUUACUAUGGAUGUAUAGCAAGCUGGAAAUCAGGUACAGUCAUACAUCUAACAUUCUUUUCUGGUUGAAUGUGCUAUCUGGGGUCUCGUAUGUUUCUAUAUACAUUUAAGUUUUUCUAUGUAUGUGAACAGUGGCAUGGUCAAUAUGAUAAUUAUUGCAUAGAAUCAAUAUAUAGCUUUUAGCUGUACAGUUACUUUAAUUGUUUUAAUUCUUCUAAUUCACAAAUAUAAAAAUCAUUUCAUG